Molecule: long non-coding RNA, 1610 nt
Filed under: Macaca fascicularis (crab-eating macaque)
Lineage: Eukaryota; Metazoa; Chordata; Mammalia; Primates; Cercopithecidae
Description: lncRNA (ENSMFAG00000059703.1)
Source: RNAcentral
UUUUUUUUUUUUUUUUUAAUGGAGUCUUGCUCUGUCACCCAGGCUGGAGUGCAGUGGCACGAUCUCAGCUCACUGCAACCUCCACAUCCUGGGUUCACAUCAUUCUUCUGCCUCAGCCUCCAGAGUAGCUGGGACUGCAGGUACCAGCCACCAUGCCUGGCUAAUUUUUUUGUAUUCUUAGUAGAGACAGGAUUUCACCGUGUUAGCCAGGAUGGUCUUGAUCUCUUGAUCUCGUGAUCUGCCUGCCUCAGCCUCCCAAAGUGCUGGGAUUACAGGCAUGAGCCACCGCACCCAGCCUCCAGGCAAAAUUUUGAAUGUGCAGUUGGCUUCUGAUAUGGUUUGUCUGUGUCCCCACCUAAGAAUGUCCCUUCAUCUUGAAUUGUAACUCCCACAAUUCCCACAUGUUGCAGGAGGAACCUGGUGGGAGGUAAUUGAAUUAUGGGGCAGAUCUUUCCUGUGCUGUUCUCGUGAUAGUGAAUACGUCUCAUGAGAUCUGAGGGUUUUAAAAACAGGAGUUUUCUUGCACAAGCUCUCUUCUUUUGUCUGCUGCCAUGUGAGAUGUGCCUUUCACCUUCUACCAGGAUUGUGAAGCCACCCCAGCCAUGUGGAACUGUAAGUCCAUUAAAAUUCUUUCUUUUUUUGCAAAUUGCCCAGUCUUGGGUAUGUCUUUAUCAGCAGCAUGAAAACAGACUAAUUGGUACCAGUAGAGUGCAGCGCUGCUGAAAAGAUACCCAAAAAUGUGGAAGUGACUUUGGAACUGGGUAACAGGCAGAGGUUGGAAGAGUUUGGAGGGCUCAGAAGAAGACAGGAAAAUGUGAGAACGUUUGGAACUUCCUAGAGACUUGUUGAAUGGCCUUGCCAAAAAUGCUGAUAGCAAUAUGGACAGGCUGAAGUGGUCUCAGAUGGAAAUGAGGAACUUGUUAGGAACAAGAGCAAAGGUGACUCUUGUUAUGCUUCAGCAAAGAGACUGGUGGCAUUUUGCCCCGCUCUAGACAGUUGUGAAACUUUGAACUUGAGAGAGAUGAUUUAGGGUAUCUGGCAGAAGAAAUUUCAAAGCAGCAAAACAUUUAAAAGGUGAUUUGUGUGCUGUUGAAGGCAUUCAGUUUUAUAAGGGAAGCAGAGCAUAAAAGUUCAGAAAAUUUGUAGCCUGACAAUUCGAUAGAAAAGAAAACCCCAUUUUCAGAGGGGAAAUUCAAGCUGGCUGCAGAAAUUUGCAUAAGUAACUAUGAGCCAAAUGUUAAUCCCCAAGACAAUGGGGAAAAGGUCUCCAGGGUGUGUCAGAGGUCUUCAUGGCAGCCCCUCCCAUCACUGGCCUGGAGGCCUAGGAGGAAUAAGUGGUUUCAUGGGUGGGUCCCAAGAUACCUGUGCUGUGUCCAGCCUAGGCUGUGGCUCAGGCUGUGGCUUCAGAGGGUGCAAGCCUCAAGCCCUGGCAGCUUUCAUGUGGUGUUGAGCCUGCCAAUGCAAAGAAGUCAAGAAUUGGGGUUUGGGAACCUCUGCCCAGAUUCCAGAGGAUGUAUGGAAACACCUGGAUGUCCAGGCAGAAGUUUGCUGCAGGGGCAGGGAUCUCAUGGGGAACCUCUGCUAGGGCAGUGCAGAAGGGAAUUGUGGUC